Molecule: ribosomal RNA, 460 nt
Filed under: uncultured bacterium
Lineage: Bacteria
Description: partial 16S ribosomal RNA
Rfam family: Bacterial small subunit ribosomal RNA
Source: RNAcentral
CCUACGGGAGGCAGCAGUGAGGAAUAUUGGUCAAUGGACGAGAGUCUGAACCAGCCAAGUAGCGUGAAGGAUGACUGCCCUAUGGGUUGUAAACUUCUUUUAUAUGGGAAUAAAAUGUUCCACGUGUGGGCUUUUGUAUGUACCAUAUGAAUAAGGAUCGGCUAACUCCGUGCCAGCAGCCGCGGUAAUACGGAGGAUCCGAGCGUUAUCCGGAUUUAUUGGGUUUAAAGGGAGCGUAGGUGGAUUGUUAAGUCAGUUGUGAAAGUUUGCGGCUCAACCGGAAAAUUGCAGUUGAAACUGGCAGUCUUGAGUACAGUAGAGGUGGGCGGAAUGCGUGGUGUAGCGGUGAAAUGCUUAGAUAUCACGAAGAACUCCGAUUGCGAAGGCAGCUCACUGGACUGCAACUGACACUGAGGCUCGAAAGUGUGGGUAUCAAACAGGAUUAGAUACCCUGGUAGUC